ACGUGGGCAAUCUGCGCUGCACUCUGGGACAAGCCCUGGAAACGGGGUCUAAUACCGGAUACAACCACUGACCGCAUGGUCGGGUGGUGGAAAGCUCCGGCGGUGCAGGAUGAGCCCGCGGCCUAUCAGCUUGUUGGUGAGGUAGUGGCUCACCAAGGCGACGACGGGUAGCCGGCCUGAGAGGGCGACCGGCCACACUGGGACUGAGACACGGCCCAGACUCCUACGGGAGGCAGCAGUGGGGAAUAUUGCACAAUGGGCGAAAGCCUGAUGCAGCGACGCCGCGUGAGGGAUGACGGCCUUCGGGUUGUAAACCUCUUUCAGCAGGGAAGAAGCGAAAGUGACGGUACCUGCAGAAGAAGCGCCGGCUAACUACGUGCCAGCAGCCGCGGUAAUACGUAGGGCGCAAGCGUUGUCCGGAAUUAUUGGGCGUAAAGAGCUCGUAGGCGGCUUGUCGCGUCGGUUGUGAAAGCCCGGGGCUUAACCCCGGGUCUGCAGUCGAUACGGGCAGGCUAGAGUUCGGUAGGGGAGAUCGGAAUUCCUGGUGUAGCGGUGAAAUGCGCAGAUAUCAGGAGGAACACCGGUGGCGAAGGCGGAUCUCUGGGCCGAUACUGACGCUGAGGAGCGAAAGCGUGGGGAGCGAACAGGAUUAGAUACCCUGGUAGUCCACGCCGUAAACGGUGGGCACUAGGUGUGGGCAACAUUCCACGUUGUCCGU
This 718-nucleotide ribosomal RNA is filed under the name Streptomyces sp. Its description in RNAcentral is "bacterial SSU rRNA". It matches the Rfam family "Bacterial small subunit ribosomal RNA", at positions 115 to 844 of the family's 1533-position model. Lineage: Bacteria; Bacillati; Actinomycetota; Actinomycetes; Kitasatosporales; Streptomycetaceae. The record is from RNAcentral.